AGAUAAGGGGGUCAUCCAGCUGAGACAUCUGUCUCCCCUUUGAUCACCAGCAUUGUUGAUUCAGCUGACCUGACUGCCUUGGCCAGUGUCCCCUUUCUCCCUCAGGGCUCCCCACGUGUCCCUCCAGAAGGGGCGUCUUGCUGGGUCUAAGAGGACGACCCUCCCCAAAGGAGGAAGCCCAUUCUUCCCUCAGGGGCACAGAGGAGCUGCACUCCACUGCUGGAAGCUCCAAACAAGCUCUUGAGGUCCAUUUGUAAGCGAAGGUAGGCUAGUCAAGCUUCCAGGACACAACUUAAUGAGACUCUGCGUGUGGCAGUCUACCUUUCUAA
This 329-nucleotide small nuclear RNA is filed under the name Mustela putorius furo (domestic ferret). RNAcentral describes it as "7SK RNA (ENSMPUG00000020422.1)". It matches the Rfam family "7SK RNA". Rfam says of the family: 7SK was discovered as an abundant small nuclear RNA in the mid-70s but a possible function has only recently been suggested. Lineage: Eukaryota; Metazoa; Chordata; Mammalia; Carnivora; Mustelidae. The record is from Rfam by way of RNAcentral.